GAUGAAGAACGUAGCGAAAUGCGAUAAGUAAUGUGAAUUGCAGAAUUCAGUGAAUCAUCGAAUCUUUGAACGCACAUUGCGCCCGCCAGUAUUCUGGCGGGCAUGCCUGUUCGAGCGUCAUUUCAACCAUCAAGCCCCCGGCUUGUGUUGGGGACCUGCGGCUGCCGCAGGCCCUGAAAACCAGUGGCGGGCUCGCUAGUCACUCCGAGCGUAGUAGUUACAUCUCGCUCAGGGCGUGCUGCGGGUUCCGGCCGUUAAAAACCUUAUUUACCCAAGGUUGACCUCGGAUCAGGUAGGAAGACCCGCUGAACUUAAGCAUAUCAAUAAGCGGAGGA
Molecule: unclassified non-coding RNA, 335 nt
Filed under: soil metagenome
Description: partial contains 5.8S ribosomal RNA, internal transcribed spacer 2, and large subunit ribosomal RNA
Rfam family: 5.8S ribosomal RNA (bases 1-120)
Source: RNAcentral